Molecule: ribosomal RNA, 253 nt
Filed under: uncultured bacterium
Lineage: Bacteria
Description: partial 16S ribosomal RNA
Rfam family: Bacterial small subunit ribosomal RNA
Source: RNAcentral
UACGUAGGGUGCGAGCGUUGUCCGGAAUUAUUGGGCGUAAAGAGCUCGUAGGCGGUUUGUCGCGUCUGCCGUGAAAGUCCGGGGCUCAACUCCGGAUCUGCGGUGGGUACGGGCAGACUAGAGUGAUGUAGGGGAGACUGGAAUUCCUGGUGUAGCGGUGAAAUGCGCAGAUAUCAGGAGGAACACCGAUGGCGAAGGCAGGUCUCUGGGCAUUAACUGACGCUGAGGAACGAAAGCAUGGGGAGCGAACAGG